AUUGAACGCUGGCGGCAGGCCUAACACAUGCAAGUCGAGCGGAUGAAGGGAGCUUGCUCCUGUAUUCAGCGGCGGACGGGUGAGUAAUGCCUAGGAAUCUGCCUGGUCUUUGGGGAUAACGUCCGGUAACGGGCGCUAAUACCGCAUACGUCCUGAUGGAGAAAGUGGGGGAUCUUCGGACAUCACGCUAUCAGAUGAGCCUAGGUCGGAUUAGCUAGUUGGUGGGGUAAAGGCUUACCAAGGCGACGAUCCGUAACUGGUCUGAGAGGAUGAUCAGUCACACUGGAACUGAGACACGGUCCAGACUCCUACGGGAGGCAGCAGUAGGGAAUAUUGGACAAUGGGCGAAAGCCUGAUCGAGCAAUGCCGCGUGUGUGAAGAAGGUCUUCGGAUUGUAAAGCACUGUAAGUAGGGAGGAAGGUCAGUAAGUUAAUACCUUGAUGUUUUGACGUUACCAACAGAAUAAGCACCGGCUAACUACGUG
Molecule: ribosomal RNA, 484 nt
Filed under: uncultured bacterium
Lineage: Bacteria
Description: partial 16S ribosomal RNA
Rfam family: Bacterial small subunit ribosomal RNA
Source: RNAcentral